Molecule: ribosomal RNA, 980 nt
Filed under: Aspergillus flavus
Lineage: Eukaryota; Fungi; Ascomycota; Eurotiomycetes; Eurotiales; Aspergillaceae
Description: eukaryotic LSU rRNA
Rfam family: 5.8S ribosomal RNA (bases 595-748)
Source: RNAcentral
CACUCAGAUUCACGAAAGAUGUUUCGCACGCGCUAAACCGAUCCCCCUUUGCGAUGUGGAUAUCUUCUGCGCUCCGACACGAGAGACACCCCCCCCGUGCGGCUAGAGUCUGGUAGCUGCCCCCCGCAGACGCAGUCUGAUGAUCGGAUUUGUUUUGCAUUUCUCUCUCAUGACUCGGUCUGUUGUAUGAGCGCAGCCAAGCACCCCUUGAAUAGUCUAAGUGACUGCGACUACCAUCAAACUCCGACUUCACAGAAUCAGAAGAUUCGUGGUUUCCGGCGGGCGCGGCCGGGCUAGAGCCCCGGGCCUGAAGCGCCGCGAAGCAACUUAGUACGAAACACGGUGAGUUGCCCCCUAGGAACCCUACACUCGUAAUGAUCUUCCGUAGGGUGAACCUGCGGAAGGAUCAUUACCGAGUGUAGGGUUCCUAGCGAGCCCAACCUCCCACCCGUGUUUACUGUACCUUAGUUGCUUCGGCGGGCCCGCCAUUCAUGGCCGCCGGGGGCUCUCAGCCCCGGGCCCGCGCCCGCCGGAGACACCACGAACUCUGUCUGAUCUAGUGAAGUCUGAGUUGAUUGUAUCGCAAUCAGUUAAAACUUUCAACAAUGGAUCUCUUGGUUCCGGCAUCGAUGAAGAACGCAGCGAAAUGCGAUAACUAGUGUGAAUUGCAGAAUUCCGUGAAUCAUCGAGUCUUUGAACGCACAUUGCGCCCCCUGGUAUUCCGGGGGGCAUGCCUGUCCGAGCGUCAUUGCUGCCCAUCAAGCACGGCUUGUGUGUUGGGUCGUCGUCCCCUCUCCGGGGGGGACGGGCCCCAAAGGCAGCGGCGGCACCGCGUCCGAUCCUCGAGCGUAUGGGGCUUUGUCACCCGCUCUGUAGGCCCGGCCGGCGCUUGCCGAACGCAAAUCAAUCUUUUCCAGGUUGACCUCGGAUCAGGUAGGGAUACCCGCUGAACUUAAGCAUAUCAAUAAGCGGAGGAAUUU